This 386-nucleotide ribosomal RNA is filed under the name uncultured Rhizophydiales. RNAcentral describes it as "partial small subunit ribosomal RNA". It matches the Rfam family "Eukaryotic small subunit ribosomal RNA", at positions 30 to 432 of the family's 1831-position model. Lineage: Eukaryota; Fungi; Chytridiomycota; Chytridiomycetes; Rhizophydiales. The record is from RNAcentral.
GCUUGUCUCAAAGAUUAAGCCAUGCAUGUCUAAGUGUAAAUAAGUCUAUACUGUGAAACUGCGAAUGGCUCAUUAAAUCAGUUAUCGUUUAUUUGAUGAUCUCUUACUACUUGGAUAACCGUAGUAAUUCUAGAGCUAAUACAUGCACAAAAUCCCGACUUACGAAGGGAUGUAUUUAUUAGAUACAAACCAACAUCGUGGUGAUUCAUAAUAACUUUGCGAAUCGUAUGCCUCACGGCGACGAUGAAUCAUUCAAAUUUCUGCCCUAUCAACUUUCGAUGGUAGUCGCCGUGCCUACCAUGGUGACCACGGGUGACGGGGAAUCAGGGUUCGAUUCCGGAGAGGGAGCCUGAGAAACGGCUACCACAUCCAAGGAAGGCAGCAGG